GCAGUGGUAGUUCCGUGGUAGAAUUCUUGCCUUCCCUGCAGGAGACCUGGGUUCAAUUCCUGACCAGUGCG
RNAcentral lists this transfer RNA (71 nucleotides) under Loxodonta africana (African savanna elephant). It matches the Rfam family "tRNA". Rfam says of the family: Transfer RNA (tRNA) molecules are approximately 80 nucleotides in length. Their secondary structure includes four short double-helical elements and three loops (D, anti-codon, and T loops). Lineage: Eukaryota; Metazoa; Chordata; Mammalia; Proboscidea; Elephantidae. The record is from Rfam by way of RNAcentral.